UGGUGGAGUGAUUUGUCUGCUUAAUUGCGAUAACGAACGAGACCUUAACCUGCUAAAUAGCCCGUAUUGCUUUGGCAGUUCGCUGGCUUCUUAGAGGGACUAUCGGCUCAAGCCGAUGGAAGUUUGAGGCAAUAACA
RNAcentral lists this ribosomal RNA (137 nucleotides) under uncultured eukaryote. RNAcentral describes it as "partial 18S ribosomal RNA". It matches the Rfam family "Eukaryotic small subunit ribosomal RNA", at positions 1299 to 1458 of the family's 1831-position model. The record is from RNAcentral.